This 407-nucleotide ribosomal RNA is filed under the name uncultured bacterium. Its description in RNAcentral is "partial 16S ribosomal RNA". It matches the Rfam family "Bacterial small subunit ribosomal RNA", at positions 30 to 526 of the family's 1533-position model. The record is from RNAcentral.
AUUGAACGCUGGCGGAAGGCCUAACCCAUGCAAGUCGAGCGGAGCGGCGGACGGGUGAGUAAUGCCUAGGAAUCUGCCUGGUAGUGGGGGAUAACGUCCGGAAACGGGCGCUAAUACCGCAUACUAUCAGAUGAGCCUAGGUCGGAUUAGCUAGGUGGUGGGGUAAAGGCCUACCUAGGCGACGAUCCGUAACUGGUCUGAGUGGAUGAUCAGUCACACGGGAACUGAGACACGUUCCAGACGCCGACGGGAGUAAGCAGUGGGGACUAUUCGACAAUGGGCGAAAGCCUGAUCCAGCCAUGCCGCGGGUGUGAAGAAGGUCUUCGGAGUGUAAAGCACUUUAAGUUGGGAGGCGUUACCAACAUAAUACUCACCGACUAACUUCGUGCCAGCACCCGCGGUAAUUC